UGAUUAUAUAAAAUUUGGAGUGGCCUGUCAUACUUCUGGAAGCACGGAGCCCUCCGUGCUUCCAAGUUAUUUUCGAUGUUCAGAGUUUUGAAUCCACGAUCGGCUCCGUUAGAUUUGAUCUAGAGUAUUUGAAAUAUCUAAAAAAUAAAUUUUGUAAUUUUUCGACAUCAUUUGCCUAGUGAUCCAAAGGGCUCAAAAUUAAUAAUUUUAACAGCCGUUGUGAGCCGUUUGCAAGUUUAACGGUGUAGAAAUAUUCAAAUCACAUGAAAUUUUGAUAGAAAAUUUUUUAUACUAUAUAAAACAAGAUCAAUAACUUUGAUCUAAAAUUUUAAUGUCAUAUCAUCAUAUUUUGUAAGAUUUUUAUUUUCAGCCGUUGAUUUUGAGCCACUUCGAUCACUAGGCGAAUGAUAUAAAAAAAUUAUAAAAUUUAUUUUCUAAAUACUCUAAAUACUCUAGAUCAAGUCUAAUGGAAUCGAUCGUCGAUUCGAAAGUCCGAACAUCAAAAACAACUUGAAAGCACGGAGCGCUCCGUGCUUUCAUAAGUAUAUCGGACGCACUCUAAAAUUUGAUAUUUCUUUGAAUGAAAAUUUGUAGGGCUAGAAUAAUAGUAGUUUCGUAGGGCUGAGCAGAUGGUUAGUAAAAUAGCAUGAUUUAAAGAAUGAAAUUGAUAAAAAAAGUAGGUAUAACGUGAGAAACUUACAAGUACCAAAUACUUAGUAUUUUUAAAAGCAUAAGAGCUCAAUCCUAUAUGACUUCGGCUAUGAUAUUUUUAAAAAUAUCAAACACUUGAAAGGUGCUUAUAAGUUUUUCACCCUUAUAUCAUAU
This 825-nucleotide long non-coding RNA is filed under the name Ananas comosus (pineapple). RNAcentral describes it as "long non-coding RNA (ACOM_LNC008344)". Lineage: Eukaryota; Viridiplantae; Streptophyta; Magnoliopsida; Poales; Bromeliaceae. The record is from RNAcentral.